Molecule: ribosomal RNA, 630 nt
Filed under: Colwellia sp. 5AR
Lineage: Bacteria; Pseudomonadati; Pseudomonadota; Gammaproteobacteria; Alteromonadales; Colwelliaceae
Description: bacterial SSU rRNA
Rfam family: Bacterial small subunit ribosomal RNA
Source: RNAcentral
GCAAGUCGAGCGGUAACAGAGAUAGCUUGCUAUCUGCUGACGAGCGGCGGACGGGUGAGUAAUGCUUGGGAAUAUGCCUUUGAGUGGGGGACAACAGUUGGAAACGACUGCUAAUACCGCAUAACGUCUACGGACCAAAGGGGGGGACGCUUCGGCACCUCUCGCUCAUUGAUUAGCCCAAGUGAGAUUAGCUAGUUGGUAAGGUAAUGGCUUACCAAGGCGACGAUCUCUAGCUGGUUUGAGAGGAUGAUCAGCCACACUGGGACUGAGACACGGCCCAGACUCCUACGGGAGGCAGCAGUGGGGAAUAUUGCACAAUGGGCGAAAGCCUGAUGCAGCCAUGCCGCGUGUGUGAAGAAGGCCUUCGGGUUGUAAAGCACUUUCAGCGAGGAGGAAAGGUUAGUAGUUAAUAACUGCUAGCUGUGACGUUACUCGCAGAAGAAGCACCGGCUAACUUCGUGCCAGCAGCCGCGGUAAUACGAGGGGUGCAAGCGUUAAUCGGAAUUACUGGGCGUAAAGCGUGCGUAGGUGGUUUGUUAAGCAAGAUGUGAAAGCCCCGGGCUCAACCUGGGAACUGCAUUUUGAACUGGCAAGCUAGAGUUUUGUAGAGGGUAGUGGAAUUUCCAGUGU